This 1463-nucleotide long non-coding RNA is filed under the name Fragaria vesca (wild strawberry). Its description in RNAcentral is "long non-coding RNA (FVES_LNC004233)". The record is from RNAcentral. Lineage: Eukaryota; Viridiplantae; Streptophyta; Magnoliopsida; Rosales; Rosaceae.
ACAGAGAGUACGAGUGGCGUUGGCUUCUGACAUCAGAAUUCAACAACCCUCGUAAACAGGUAUUUAAAUAAAUUAAUUAGUUAAUUUAUCAUUAAGUACGUGCGUUUUAAAAUAUUUUACUAAUAGUUUACUUUUUUCUUUGAAGGCGGUUUCCCGGGUGAACGCUCAGAACCGGCAACGCAACACAAAGAACCAUCAUGCCGGUUCUAGACCGUUCGCUGUCUUCAUGGACGAGGCGGCCAGGGAACAUCCAGAGGUCAACCAGUACGUCUAUACGUACGAGAGGGCAUAUCCUGACUCCCAGGAGGAUAUAGUAAGUACUCUUUCUUUUUUACGGAAUUUUUAAUUUUACUUAUAUAUAUGUCAAAAUGUUAAUUAAUAAUUUUUUUCCUAUCCAAUUAGGCAAAGGUGAGGGAGGCUAGUGACGAGGUGAUGAGUGCUAUAGUGAGGGAGACAUGGCCGGACACGCAGGAGGAAGAGAUGUCCGAAGCCAUUUUCCGGAUCGACACUUCAGAUCCGAGGGUUGGGGCGAGGAUCAUGGGCACAGCCUUCCCACCGCGAGAAAACAACUUCUACUGCCGGGGUCUAGGAAAGAAGGGCCGAGGGGGUCCUGAAGACCACUCCAGGAUUUCAACGAAAGGCGGGCUCGACCAACAGCAGGACGGCUCAGCUAGAGUCGGAAGUUGAGAGACUACGGGAACAGCAAGCCGCUCAGGCUGCCGCUCAUGCUGCUCAGGCUGCCGCUCAUGCUGCUCAGGCUGCCGCUCAGGCUGCCGCUCAGGCUGCUCAGGCUGCCGCUCAUGCCGCCCAGAUCGUCGAAUAUAGAGCCUUUACUAGAGCCCUACAUGCCGCCCAGCAGGCCCAGCAGCAGCAGAUGUUCCAGUACUUCCAGGAUUUUACAGCUGCCCAGCAACAGAGACUUCCACCUCCGCCCAUGCUUGCGCCUAUAGAGUUACCUCUGCCGCCGCAAUCUCCUCACCAGCAGGCCCGAGAUUCGGAUAUUGAUUUAGACCAUCUAGAUUUUGUGUAGUUGAUACCUUAUAUAGUUUUAUGUGCUUCUUGUUGGUUAUAUAUAUGGAAUUGUUUUGGUGUAUUUUGCAGCUUGCUUGGAAUGGUAAUUUAAGAAUUUCGUGUAUUUUUUUUUUACUGGAAUGGCGUUAUAGCCGACGAAACAUGCCACAAUUCGUCGGCUAUAGUAAUUUUUUUUUUUCCAAAGGGUUUAGCCGACGAAUUAUGGUAUGUUUCGUCGGCUAAACACUACUAAAGUCGACGAAACAGACUUUAUGUCGUCGGCUAUAGUUAUUUUUAAAUAUUUUAAUUAUAUACUUUAGCUGACGAAACAGAGAUAUUCGUCGGCUAAAGUUUGUCAGUAAAGCCGACGAAUAUACUGUUCGUCGGCUAAAGUCUGGAACAAUAGCCGACGAAAAAUAGUUCGUCGGCUAAAAGCUGGAACAAUAGCCGAC